Molecule: long non-coding RNA, 2041 nt
Organism: Girardinichthys multiradiatus
Lineage: Eukaryota; Metazoa; Chordata; Actinopteri; Cyprinodontiformes; Goodeidae
Exons: 3
Source: RefSeq, a predicted model, not a curated record
UUUAAUUUUUAAAAUACAGCCCCAAUUCAUGGGUUCAUAGCAGAAAUCAGAUGUUUACAUUCACUGCAUAAACAGAACCAAAACAUUUCCUCACUAUUUAAUAUCAAAUGGGACAAAACCUUUCCUGUUUUAGGCCAGUAAGGAUUACAAUUUUUGUUUAUAUCUGCUGAAAGCCAGAACAACAAGACAGAGUUUUCUGGAAAUGUUUUUACUGAAAUAUUCAAAGAUUUUAAAUGUCAAACUUUGAAGAAAAAUCAGUCUUAUGUUCAAUGGAAUGAAUAAAUGUUUUUAGGGUUAAUACUCAGUCAUGAGGUGUCAUAAUGUUAGUGGCCGAUUUGACCCACAUACAGCAGAAACACCCAGAGAACAGAGAACUAUUUAGGAAGUUUAUUGAGAGGCUGUAAGGUGAGGGAAGGACAGCUGCUGCCUGGAACAGGAAGCUGCAACAGAUAGAACAGGUGAGAAUCUGCCUGCACGACAAAUGAUAAAUAAACAGAUGGGUUUACGGACCUAGCUGGGUCCUAUUUCAUUCCUACUGACCGCCAGAGGUGGUGCUUCAAGCACUGAAUGAUCAUUGUUGCGCAUGUGCAGGUUGAGAAUUUAAUAACAACAUGGUCACAUGUGACCUACCGGUGGCUCACGUGAGUCUAUAAAGUCACAUGACACCGGGAGCCCAGACCCUUCCUUCUUCUCGCGCGCAGGUUGAUGAAUGCAGUUGUUGACUUUAUUCGUUGUUCCUCGUUCGUCUUGCUGCUGGGAGCCUUGUGAUCAAUCGUGGUUGGAGCUGCGGAUGGUUCUGCCCUCCAGAGGCAGCGCAAGCUGCUUUUUCUUCCAGGUUUUCUGGGAGAGGGAGCUGAGUCCAGACCAGAGGAAGGGUGCAUCGCCAGAACUUCAGAGGGCUGGAGGUUGGAGGACCGUCGGAGGGUGGACAGGCUUGGCAAGGUGAUCAUCCCAACAAGCCGCACCUGUCACCCUCUAGGAACGGUCUCUGGUAUCACCUAGUGACUGAAGAUGGUUGGUAGCAGCCUAGGACAGAGUCCAGAUUCUUACAUGAGGUUGUUAAUCAGUUGCUUCUGACUGGUUAAUCAGUUCCAGGUGGUGACUCUUCACGGGGAAGUGUGUGCUCCUGUGGGGCAGAGUUUGGAGACUAAUACAAACCAUUAGAGUUUAUUAGGAAAAUCUUGACCAACCGAGCCAGCGAGGACUGAUCAAUCUUCCAAGAUUCAAAUGUAUUAGUGGUUGUUUUGUUUGCAUCGUUCUCUGUAUCCUGUCUUUUUACUUUUGGGUAAAGUUCCUCCUAGACUGUGUUUAGUUCUCCAAUUGCCCUGUGAAGAAUUCUUCAACUUAUGCUUAACAUGUUAUUUGCAAGAGUACACAUUUGUCAUAAUAAUAAUGCAGUGUAAGUGAAAUCCAAAAACCUGAACCCACUCAGCUGUCCUGCCUGCCUGCCUGCUUUCAAGUCAUGGUGAAACAGUUUGAUUUGGGACUAAAGUCGUCUGUUUUUUUUAGCUUUAGUAGUUCCAGUAUUGGCAAGGCUAUUUAGGGAAAACUGUUUUAGGACUUUGAAUUAAUCUCUUCUUUUCAUGUGAAAAUAUUAGGACACUCUGACAGCUGUCUGGGGUAUUCUGUGAGAUUGGUACGGGAUCUGAAGUGGCCUCAGAAGAAUUUAAUACAAAAUUAAUACAAAAUAGUCUCAUCAUCCAAGCAAGUUCACCCUGACAGUAGGCCUCAAUAUGCUUAAGCAAGUCUUCAAAACCCCUAAAAUGUCAUCACAGGACCUACAUCAAGCUCGUGCCACUGCUGAAAUGGAGGUCAAUGCCCGUACAAUCAGACAGAGACUCCAUACAAUUUAGCUUUGAUGUGUGGUCUGCAAAAGGAACCUUUGCUCUCUAAGAACACUAUGAAAGCCAGACUAAAGUUUGCCAAAGAGGAUGUAGACAAAGACCAAGAUACCUAGAAUAGAUUUAUUUGGACAGCUGUGUCUAAAAAUGUUUUUAAUUGCACACCAGAACAGAAAUGUGUGGCAUGAAUCAAAUACUGC